Molecule: RNA transcript, 3185 nt
Organism: Thalassophryne amazonica
Lineage: Eukaryota; Metazoa; Chordata; Actinopteri; Batrachoidiformes; Batrachoididae
Gene: zyg11
Gene name: zyg-11 homolog (C. elegans)
Exons: 19
Source: RefSeq, a predicted model, not a curated record
CCCGUGCACUUCCUGUGUCGUGACCUUUGUUUACUGUUCGCUCCAUGGUUAAAAAUAGACCUGUAGGUUCACUCGGGGCGGUUGUGGAGAUAUUAACUGUCCGUUACCCCUAAAAUGAAUUCUAUAGCAGACAGCUUUGGACAGUUUUGCACGAAAACUCGUUUUCCAAAACGAAGACAUCGACAGGUGAGCUAGCUAGCUGGUUAGCUGAGUGCUAAGGUCCGCGGCGCCGUGCUGCUGAUCGUCGGUUUGUCGGCCUGGAGACACCGAUAGACGCCUGCUGCGGAUUCCGCAGGUCCCUCCGAGAGUCCCCGAGGGCGCAACUGCAGCGUGUUCGUGGCGAUAAAACCGCAUCUUUUGGUGUAGGAUGACGUCAGCCGAGCCCACGGCCUGCAGUUUCCUAAACACGGAAGAGGCAUCUCCAGCUUCUUUGACAGACCUUUGCCUGACAUAUGUGAGCCAAAACCUGGAGUGUUACUGUGUGAAGCGCCCUGAUGGCUCACUGUGUUUCAAUGAGCCAGUACCCUUCCCGCAUGAUCUGGCAGACCAGCUACUGGCCAAAAUGGCUACUGAAGGUCUGUUGAAUGACAGCACUUUCGGUGUGUUUCGGAACUGUGAAUACCUGCGGCUGAGGCGGGCGUGUAUCCGUACAGCGCGCAUCUCUGCAGAGGCCUUCCAGAAAGCACUCUGUCCUCACAGCCUGUUGGAGCUGGAUGCUGCCAGAGUCAAUGCAGACAUCACCAUCACUGACAUACUGCAGGGACUGGCCACCAACAAAUAUUGCCAGGAGUCCCUCCAGCGGCUUGUUUUAACAGGUCUGACCAUGUCCUCUCUGGAGGAACCAAUCCGGUAUGGCUUCAGCUCCCUCCAGGGCCUGCGGUCUCUCUCUUUAGCCAAUGUAGACUUCUACGACUCGGGACUAACCGAUGUGUGUUCGCUGCCUCGACUGGAGAGUUUGGACUUGUCCAACACAUCGGUCACCAACCUGACUCCCCUGCUGGGCCUGAAGGAGAGGCUUCGCUCGCUCACUCUGCACCAACUAAAGCGCCUGGAGAUGAGCACCGCUCAGCUGCUGGGAGUCAUCGGACAGCUGAACGUGUUACAGCACUUGGACAUCAGCGAUGAUAAGCAGUUUACUUCUGAUAUCGCUCGUCAACUGCUCGGCCAGCAUGGGAUCCUGCCUGCUCUUGUUUCCCUGGAUGUGUCAGGGAGGAAACAGGUGACUGAUGCAGCUGUUAAGGCAUUUGUCGAAGAAAGACCAGGCAUGACCUUCUUAGGACUUCUGGCCACCGAUGCUGGAUUUUCGGAUUUUCUCUCUGGAGAAGGAAAUCUAAAAGUAACAGGAGAAGCCAAUGAAACCCAAAUCUGUGAGGCACUCCACCGGUACAGUGAGAGAGAAGCUUUCGUAAGAGAAGCUCUGUUUCAUCUCUUCAGCCUGACUCAUGUUAUGGAGAAGCCUCGACCCGACAUUCUUAAGCUUGUAGUUUUGGGUAUGAAGAAUCACCCCGCCACUUUAAACGUCCAGCUGGCAGCCAGUGCCUGUGUUUUUAACCUGACAAAGCAGGACCUGGCAGCAGGAAUGCCAGUUCGCCUGCUGAGCACAGUCACCCAGCUGCUACUGGAAGCCAUGAGGACCUUCCCUAACCACCAACAGCUGCAGAAGAACUGCCUCCUGUCUCUGUGCAGUGACCGCAUUUUGCAGGAGGUCCCAUUCAACAGGUUUGAAGCUGCCAAGCUUGUGAUGCAGUGGCUUUGCAACCAUGAAGACCAGAACAUGCAGAGGAUGGCUGUUGCGAUCAUUUCCAUAUUAGCUGCUAAGUUAUCCACAGAGCAGACUGCUCAGUUGGGAGCAGAGUUGUUCAUAGUCAAGCAACUACUCCACAUAGUGCGCCAGAAGGCAUCGCAGGGAGUGGUGGAUGCCACCCUCAAGUUUACACUGAGUGCUCUCUGGAAUCUUACUGAUGAAUCGCCAACAACCUGCCGCCAUUUUAUUGAGAACCAGGGUUUGGACCUGUUCAUUAAAGUUCUAGAGUGCUUCCCCAACGAGUCUUCUAUUCAGCAGAAGGUUUUAGGUCUGCUGAACAAUAUAGCUGAGGUAGGCGAGCUGCACAGGGAGCUGAUGGUGCAGGGAUUCUUGGACCACAUCUGUGCUCUGCUGCACAGCCCGGAGGUAGAAGUCAGCUAUUUUGCCGCAGGCAUCCUUGCCCAUCUAACAUCCAGAGGAGAGGGGGCCUGGACGCUCUGCCCCAGUCUUCGAUCCUCGCUGCUGGAUCAAUUGCAUUCUGCUAUAAUGAAGUGGCCCACGCCAGAGUGUGAAAUGGUGGCUUACAGGUCAUUUAACCCUUUCUUUCCUCUGCUGGAGUGCUUUCACACCCCCGGUGUCCAGCUGUGGGCUGCCUGGGCUAUGCAGCAUGUGUGCAGCAAAAAUGCCUCUCGCUACUGCAGCAUGUUGCUGGAGGAGGGCGGCCUGCAGCAGCUCAAGCAUGUUCAAGCGCACCCCCAGACCCACAGAGAUGUCAAACAGCUGGCCGAGAGCAUUCUGGAGAGCCUGCAGUGCCACAGAGCGCGCACCGGCCAGCCUAUACGCACCAACUCAUGUGGCUGCCCGCCGCCACAAUAACCUGACUGAGAAGGUGUGGGGCUGUGACCAAGCGGAUGACGUCACCCUGAUGGCACCACAGAGGGGGACAGUUCGUUCCAGCAGCACCCAACGAUCCUCUGAAGAGACUGUGCUGAUGUCCUGCACUCAUGGCCAUUGUAGAAACACCAGGACCCUAAAGACUUGGAGCUUGACUUGGUGACUCCAUGAGCUCUUCCCAAGCGUCUCUCAAUCUCAGAAGUAGAGGCCCCAGAGACACACCAAGAUGUCAAGAUGCUGUGUUGUUAAUCUGUCCUAUUUGUGCUUCACGGUCCCCCUAGAAUGCCUACUUACUGAGACUGGUGAUAUUCAGUGUCCCAAGAUUUGAGUCAAGGGUGUCAUAUUGUUUCCAACUUCAGCAUGGUGGUAUAUUGAUCACAUUGUAAAAUUCACGUCUCAAUGUAGCAGGUUGUUCGAUGUAUGGUUCUACUCAAAACAGUUCAAAAAUACUGGGAUGUUGGGCAUAUGGAUGCAAAAAAAAAAAAAAAAAAAAAAAUCUAAAAAUGGAUAUAAAAUGUAUAGAUUUCCUGUGAAAAUAAAGUCAAAA